AGCUUACGAUACGUUCGUGAUAUGUACUCUAAAAGAUUUUCAAGUAUAAUUAAGAUCACAGCAGAUUUAAUGUGCAAUUCGCAAGCCGCAAAAUAAAUGUGAGAACUCUUCAGAGAGAGAUCUGACGGCCGCUUCAUUGUCUUCCAAGCGAAAGUAAAACUGCAGCCAGAGAGAUCCAAGACAUCCGAUUUGGCUUCAAACUCGUAGAAUGUGAAACAAUCAAUAUCGUAAGGUCGCCCCCACAGUUUCGAUUCGGUGGGACACUGCAUCGCCUGAGACUUAUGAUGCCCUUAAAAUCAAUACGACAUCGGGAUCUGAAGAGCUUUUAGUAUAUUUGGGAAGGACUUACAGAAAAUGAAUAGCAACGAAGUGCAGCUCAUGGAGAACAUACAUUCGACUUUUGAUCACCAAAUCAAGAGUAUUGCAGGUCCUUGGUUAAACGCAACUUUUCGUAGUAUUUGAUUUAGUAUAUUUUCAAUAUAUUUCAUACGGUGUGUACAUACUCGUAUAUAUGUACAUCUAAAGGGUUUCUGUUACAAUUACUGCCCGACUAUCUUCUGGAUAUUAUUGAUGCCGUCCUUUACUGCAUUCGUAAUUUCGGGUACUAGUGGAAUUUUUUCAAUCACACCAACACUGCAUCGCCAGAGACAUAUGCUGC
Long non-coding RNA from Drosophila miranda, 658 nucleotides. RefSeq lists it as uncharacterized. The record is from RefSeq and is a predicted model, not a curated record. The transcript has 2 exons. NCBI's taxonomy places the organism in Eukaryota, Metazoa, Arthropoda, Insecta, Diptera, Drosophilidae.